RNAcentral lists this ribosomal RNA (848 nucleotides) under uncultured Rhizophagus. Its description in RNAcentral is "eukaryotic LSU rRNA". It matches the Rfam family "Eukaryotic large subunit ribosomal RNA", at positions 1 to 684 of the family's 3401-position model. Lineage: Eukaryota; Fungi; Glomeromycota; Glomeromycetes; Glomerales; Glomeraceae. The record is from RNAcentral.
UGACCUCAAAUCASGUAGGAACACCCGCUGAACUUAAGCAUAUCAAUAAGCGGAGGAAAAGAAAAUAACAAUGAUUCCCCUAGUAGCUGCGAGUGAAGAGGGACAAGCUCAAAUUUUAAAUCUGUCGGGUUUUUCCUGACCGAGUUGUAAUUUGAAGAAGCGUUUUCUGCGCUGUUUGAUCAGCCCAAGUCCUAUUGAAUGAGGCAUCAUGGAGGGUGAUAAUCCCGUCCGGUUGAUCAUUGUGCUCUACGGUACGCUUUCUAGGAGUCAAGUUGUUUGGGAUUGCAGCUUAAAAUGGGAGGUAAAUUNUCUCCNUANANGGCUANANAUNANANCGGNCGAGAGNACNCGAUAGCGAACAAGCACCGUGAGGGAAAGAUGAAAANGAACNUUUGAAAAGAGAGUUAAACAGUACGUGAAAUCGUUGAAAGGGAAACGAUUGAAGCCAGUCGUACCUUCGGGUAAUCAGCCUUUCGGGUGCGAUUCUGUGGGGUGUGAAGAGUUAAACGCCUUCACGUUUUGCAUAUUCGUGCUCUUGGGUGUACUUGCCCGUGUGGUUGGUUAACAUCAAUUUUGGACGCCAUAAAAUGACUGGAGGAAUGUAGCUUCGAUCUCGUAUUGAAGUGUUAUAGCCUUCGGUAGAUGUGGUUUUCGAGAUUGAGGAUUGCAACGGAUACCCUUCGGGGCUACCUAUCUGAUCUCUGAUCGUUGCUCUGGUGCCGAAAGCUUGCUUACGGUUAUUAAAGUCGAUGGUCAAUAUGUUAGAGUGGGUUAAAUUCGUUAGGGAUGUUGACGUGAUGGCUUUAAACGACCCGUCUUGAAACACGGACCGAGGAGUCUAACAUGUG